AUGGGGCCGCACCCACGGCCUGCUACUCUGGCGCUGCGGCCAAGAGGGUCUCGCUUCGGCGCUGCUCCAGCCGCUGCUCCCGUCCUGGCGCGGGCGCCAAGGCCGUCCCCGCCCAUCUCUGGUUGUGUGCAGGCAGGUGACCAGCAGGAGCACGUAGGAGGGGUCCUUCGGUUGCCGCCAUGGCUCAGAUCUUGCUCCAUGGAAACCUCCACGUCAACAUCUUUGAGGCCUCGUCGCUCUCCCACCCCGGCCGCGCCAGCGGCCGCGCCCCCAAGUUCAUCCGCAAGGUACAUGAAGGCCGGGAGCGCCAAGGCACACCUCGCGCACGGGUCGAUCAUGGUGUACCAGCUUUGCAAGGGCGUUUCUUUUUGCCACGGACGCGGUGUCCGGCACCAUGAACUUGAGCCACACAACCUGGAAAUUGGUGGACGGGUUGGUAUCCUCUAG
This 447-nucleotide ribosomal RNA is filed under the name Triticum aestivum (bread wheat). Its description in RNAcentral is "partial small subunit ribosomal RNA". Lineage: Eukaryota; Viridiplantae; Streptophyta; Magnoliopsida; Poales; Poaceae. The record is from RNAcentral.